Molecule: long non-coding RNA, 3619 nt
Organism: Gorilla gorilla gorilla (western lowland gorilla)
Lineage: Eukaryota; Metazoa; Chordata; Mammalia; Primates; Hominidae
Exons: 4
Source: RefSeq, a predicted model, not a curated record
UGACAGCCCAUUACCCAAGUGGAGGCAGAAGAGAAGUUGCUACCAGAGAGGGGGCCCUCAGAGAGUGGAAGGGCGGAUCCAGCCGCCCAUCAAAGGGAACAGUGUGUGGGCAGAAGGUUGCCUGGCCACGGCCAGGCCCAGCCCCCACAGAGGGAUCAGAGCACCCAAGGCCUUGACCGCCUCUGAGUCAUUGACCUUCAUCUUCAAAGAUCCUUCCCUAGAGACUCCUGUGAUUCUUCCCUCCCCGAGUGACCUGGUGUCACUGUCAGAAAUGCCACUCGGCCCCUCGUAACUGCAAAGGGACUGAAAGGUGUGGUCUCCCAGAGGUCCAGGAAGGAAAGAAGCCCUGGGAAGUUUCCCACAAGGCCCAGCUUCUUCUCAAGGAGACUGUGGAUAAGGAAAGAAGGCAGGCAAGGCUGCUGUGCUGGAAAGAAGGUGGAGUUCCCCAGAAGCAGACUGCAGAGAACGGAGUGCAGGAAGAUUCCCAAGGAGAGCCUCGGGAUGAACGCCUACGGAGAAGGUGGCAGUGGGAUCAGGCAGAUGGAGAGGCUGGCUGCGAUGCAGUCACAACCAGGCCUCCACUGAGCCCACGGGGAACUCUGAAACUGGGAUGGCCCUUCAGAGUUAUCCCCAGCUGAAGCAUGGACCAGGCCUUUACAUCUUCCCCUUCGAUCAGACAGGAGGUCCCAUGUGGAUUCUGGAAUCAGAAAAGCCUGCUUCCUGAGUUUGAAUCCAGUCUUCAUCCUUCAACUGUGGGACCCUGGACAAGAACCAACAUCUUCCAGCAGAGACCACCAAGAACACAUUUGUGGUUGAAUAAGCUAGGUUUAUUAAUUACUGCAGUGAGAGAGAAUACACACCAGGGUGUCUUAGUAAGAGGGAGUUAGACAAAACCUAUGAUAGAAUUGGGGUUGGUUUGAGUGAUUUAGGAGGAGGGUAAGUGUAUUAGUCCAUUUUCACGCUGCUGAUAAAGACAUACCUGAGACUGGGAAGAAAAAGAGGUUCAAUUGGACUUGCAGUUCCACAUGGCUGGGGAGGCCUCAGAAUCAUGGUGGGAGGUGAAAGGCACUUCUUACAUGGUGGCGGCAAGAGAAAAUGAGCAAGAAGCAAAAAUGGAAACCCCUGAUAAAACCAUCAGAUUUUAUGAGACUUAUUCACUACCACAAGAAUAGCACAGGAAAGAUCAGCCCCCCAUAAUUCAAUUACCUCCCCCUGGGUCCCUCCCACAACCCAUGGGAAUUCUGGGAGGUACAAUUCAAGUUGAGAUUUGAGUGGGGACACGGCCAAACCAUAUCAGUAAGGAAGUGGCAGUUUACUUUCAAUUGGCAGCUGUAAGAAACUGGGGGCAAUUGUGACGCAGUGUCUCAAUAAAUCACAUCUAUAAGGAAGGGAGAUGGCAACAAGGAUACAGCUGUAGCAGGAAAAGAAGUAACAGUCACUCGUUUUGGCCAAGAGUGGGUGUUUGGUAUUUCACUGUGGUACACUGACAUUGUUUUUGUCGGUGCUUAGAAAAAAUUAAGACACGGUCUUGCUUUGUCUCAUUUUGUCAUAGUCUCAGCGUAGCCUUGUCUGAGGUCAGCACCCUGUGAGGGUGUUUAUGUCCUGGAGGACAAGAACACAGGCUAGCCGUGAAUGGAAGGCCAGCUUCCAAAUCUCAGGGGCUUUUUUCCUUCCUCACAGGUUACUAAAUCCCUCCAUGUAUAAAUCUCUCCACCAUAAAAUGGGGGUAAGAAGGCCGGGCGCGGUGGCUCAUGCCUGUAAUCCCAGCACUUUGGAAGGCCGAGGCGGGUGGAUCACCUGAGGUGAGGAGUUUGAGACCAGCCUGACUAACAUGGUGAAACCCUGUCUCUACUAAAUACAAAAAAUUAGCCAGGCAUGGUGGCGGGUGCCUGUAAUCCCAGCUACUUGGGAGGCUGAGGCAGGAGAAUUGCUUGAACCCAGGAGGUGGAGGUUACAGUGAGCUGAGGUUGCGCCAUUGUACUCCAGCCUGGGCAACAGGAGCAAAACUCCAUCUCAUAAAUAAAUAAAUAAAUAAAUAAAAUGGGGGUAAGAGCUCUACCUUGUGGGGCAGUUUUGAAGAAUGCACAAGACGAUGUGACACAGAGGGCAACAGCUCAUUUCAUGUUAUUCUCCCCCCCACGAACCCCAUGAGAACACCACGCAGCAGCUGCUCGAACACCAAUUUUAUAGGUUGGGAAACUAGAUGGAAAAGGUCAGUGCAUUUUGAUGGAAAUCAGAAGUGAAAUAGUCAUCCAUACUAAGACUGCAACUAAGCUUCCCAUUUUGAGGGCCAGCAGCAAAUAACCACCAGCAAUUGACACGGGGUGGCCAGCUCGGCACAGGGUCACAGUGGGGUUGGAGCACCGUCCAGGACCUGGUUUUGGGGAAACCGGGGGCACCAUCGGGACCUGGGGGGUGGGGAGUGGUCAUCACUGGAACCGUGAUGCCUGUGUUUCACUUGGCAGCUUUCGCACUGAGCUCACAGAGAGCUGGCCUUAGGCGCAGAAUCCAGAGAGCACCCCUGGUAAUAGAGUGCACCCUGACUCUGGGUCAGGGACUGAGCAGGGACCAGAACCAACUUUUUUUCUUUCCCACACAUCAUCUUGUCUGCUAAUAAUAGAGUUCAUCACCAGUGAGAUUUCCAGAAUAAAGCCCACCCAGCUUUUUCCCCUAAUUAUACCCUCUCCCUGGUAAUUGCAGAGUUGUUCAGGGCCUGCAUCUGGCUUGUAAGAGCAUUUCCAGGAAAACCAGAUUGAGUACCACCUCUCACUUGAUAGAACAAAAGGAAAGCGGCACACUUUGAAGGCUCAGCUUCUCCAGUAGAAAGUAACCUGUGGGGCUAUAGAAAGGCACCAGGUAUGGAAUCCCAAGUCAGUUCCUUCUCAGCUAUAUGGAUUUAGGAAUACAUUCAGCCUCAACAUGCUCAGCUGUAAAAUGGGAAUAAAAAAACUGCACUACCCUUCAUAUUCCCGAAGACUGUUGCAAAAAUGAUCUUUAUGGAUUCACAUGUAAAAAGAACUGCACAAUAAUAAAAAAAGUAUUUCCUAUACAGUGAUUUUGUUUACCAGCAAAUAAAACAGAUUUGACACAAAAUGAAAAGGUCAUAUAUUAUAACUAAAGUCUCCUUGGUGAUAUAACUAAUGCUCUUCUUUAAUGUUACCUAAUGAUGGUUGAAUCUAGGAAUCUGCUCUUUUAGAAAUCACCAAAAAACCAUCUGGGAUGUCCGGGCUCUGCUUAGUAAGGCAGAGAAGUUGACUCUUACAUAUCAUUUGAUCCAUCCAUUGGCUAUAGUUUGUAUAUUGUUCCCCACCAAAUCUCAUGUUGAACUGUAGUCCCUAAUGCUGGAGGUGGGGCCUGGUGGAAAGUGUCUGGCUUAUGGGGGCAGACCUCUCAUGACUUUGUGCUGUCUUCAGAUGGUUAGUUCUUAUGAGAUCUGGUCAUUUAAAAGUGUGUGGCGCCUUCUCCCCGACCUUGCUCCCAUUCUCACCAUGCGAUGUGCCUGCUUGGCCUUCGCCUUCCGCCAUGAUUGGAAGCUUCCUGAGGCCUCCCCAGAAGCAGAUGCCACUAUGCUUCCUGUACAGCCUGCAGAAACAUAAGCCAAUUAAACCUCUUUUCUUUA